This 238-nucleotide ribosomal RNA is filed under the name Gilliamella sp. Choc6-1. Its description in RNAcentral is "partial 16S ribosomal RNA". It matches the Rfam family "Bacterial small subunit ribosomal RNA", at positions 1 to 237 of the family's 1533-position model. The record is from RNAcentral. Lineage: Bacteria; Pseudomonadati; Pseudomonadota; Gammaproteobacteria; Orbales; Orbaceae.
UUAAAUUGAAGAGUUUGAUCAUGGCUCAGAUUGAACGCUGGCGGCAGGCUUAACACAUGCAAGUCGAACGGUAACAUGAGUGCUUGCACUUGAUGACGAGUGGCGGACGGGUGAGUAAUGUAUGGGGAUCUGCCAGAUGGAGGGGGACAACAGUUGGAAACGACUGCUAAUACCGCAUAAAGUUGAGAGACCAAAGUACGGUUCCGCGAGGACGUGCGCCAUUUGAUGAACCCAUAUG